Amphimedon queenslandica is the source of this 45-nucleotide non-coding RNA. NCBI's taxonomy places the organism in Eukaryota, Metazoa, Porifera, Demospongiae, Haplosclerida, Niphatidae. The record is from Rfam.
CAACCGGCUUUUUUCAAAGCCACCCCAACCAUCAAAAGAUUAACA